Molecule: ribosomal RNA, 340 nt
Filed under: uncultured eukaryote
Lineage: Eukaryota
Description: bacterial SSU rRNA
Rfam family: Eukaryotic small subunit ribosomal RNA
Source: RNAcentral
AGUCAUAUGCUUGUCUCAAAGAUUAAGCCAUGCACGUGUCAGUAUAAGCUUUCACACGGCGAAACUGCGAAUGGCUCAUUAAAACAGUUAUAGUUUAUUUGGUGGUCAAAAUCCUAUAUGGAUAACUGUGGUAAUUCUAGAGCUAAUACAUGCAUAAAGCGCUGACUUCUCGGAAAGCGCGUAUUUAUUAGAUACAGAACCAAUGCCCUCGGGCUUUUUGGAGGACUCACAAUAAAUGAACGAAGCACAUGCUUUGCGGUGCUAGACCAUUCAAGUUUCUGACCUAUCAGCUUUCGACGGUAGGGUAUUGGCCUACCGUGGCAUUGACGGGUAACGGAGA